UAUCGCUCGACUAAAGUCCAAGUCAACCAGUGGAAGUGGCAUAAUUGAAUUGGAAAGGAAAUGGCGUCAAAAUCCCCAAACAUGGUCUAUGAAACCUGUUCUAGGAGAAGUAAAUAUACCAAUACUGUAAAGUAUUGUACAGACUGCGAGGAUGCACUGUGUUCAGAAUGUUUAGAUGUUCACGGAACAAUUAAAUCAUGUGCGUCUCAUCAUGUUAUAGAUGUCAACGUGAUUGACGGAAAUCCGUUUAUUGUCCAUUAAUCUUGCGAAGUUCAUCCGGUUAUGGUUUUAGAAUAUUUUGUUCUGACCAUGACAUAUUGUGCUGUCGGUCAUGUAUGGCUAGUGAUCAUCGAUCUUGUGACAAGUUACUGCCUAUUGAAUUAGCUGCGAAAGGCGUCAAAAGUUCGACCAUGUUUGAGGAAAUUAACACGGAUGUCCGUAUUCUUAAUACCGCUGUUAACGAGCUGGAAGAUAAAAAGAGAAAAGUCAUACUUAGUCUUAAUGAUAGUAAGGUGGUUGUUCAAGAAGAAGUUAAAAAUUUGAAGGAGCAAUUGCAGAAGCGCAUUCAAGAAAUUGAAGCAGCUCUUAUGUCUGAAAUUGACAAAAUGCGUAUAAACCUGUCAAAAGAAUCGAGUGACGACCUUGAAAAAGUAUGCGGUCGACGAAAAAAGAUACAAAUAUUUCUGAACAGUUUUUAUCUGUCACAAAACAUGGAUCAGAAGGUCAAAUUUUUAUGUUCAUUAAUAAUAUCAAAGGUCAACAGUUGGCAGCAGUUCAAAUGGAUGGGAAGCAGUGGGGAAUAGCUAUGGAAGAAAACACGAAUUCAGCUUGGAUCACACUACCAUAUAUACAGUCCGUUCAGGAAGUAGAUACCGUUUCAGUAAAGAAGAAAGAACAACUGAUAAAAUUACCAGGACAAUGUCAUGGUAUAGCUCUUAUUGACGAUCAAAUUGUUGUAGGUAGUUACGGCAAAAUAUACAUUAUAGGUAAAACCAAUGAAUUAAAGAAGACACUUGAUGUUAGAAAUGGAAAUAUGAUCUACUCAAUAUCAGUUGGAAACAAACAACAACUUUACUAUGCUCAAUUAGUUGAAUUGGAAUCCGUAGGAAUAGAUGAAACAGUUACCUCUAUCUCUGCUGGAAAUGUUAACAGCCUGAUUGGUGUUAAACAGGACAGAACAGGCAAUGCAUAUUUACUAGAAUACCAAACAGCAAAUUUUAAACUAUUUUCAUGUGAAGAUAAAUCUUUUAAAACUUUUUUAACAAAAAAUGAUGGACUAAGUAUGCCAUAUGGCUUUGCUUUCAGUAAAGAUUUUUCUAAGUUAUUUAUUUCAAAUUAUUAUACCCGUGAAAUAUUAGUUUUUUUGUGCACAUGAAAAUAAAGAAUUUUGGUUGAUAUGUAAAUAAAUAUAUGUAUCUUUGCAUCUGUUUGAUAUGCUUGAUUAAAGAAGUUAUUGAGGA
Mytilus californianus (California mussel) is the source of this 1460-nucleotide long non-coding RNA. RefSeq lists it as uncharacterized. The transcript has 2 exons. Lineage: Eukaryota; Metazoa; Mollusca; Bivalvia; Mytilida; Mytilidae. The record is from RefSeq and is a predicted model, not a curated record.